UGUUUUUCGUUCUCAAGAAUGCUUUGGCUAUUCGGGGUCUUUUGUGUUUCCAUACAAAUUGUGAAAGUUUUCGUUCUAGUUUUGUGAAAAAUGCCAGUGGUAGUUUGCUAGGGAUUGCAUUGAAUCUGUAGAUUGCUUUGGGUAGUAGAGUCCUUUUCACAAUGUUGAUUCUUCCCAUGCAAGAACAUGGUAUAUCUCUCCAUCUAUUUGUAUCAUCUUUAAUUUCUUUCAUCAGUGUCUUAAAAUUUUCUGCAUACAGGUCUUUUGUCUCCUUAGGUAGGUUUAUUCCUAGGUAUUUUAUUCUUUUUGCUGCAGUGGUAAAUGGGAGUGUUUUCUUGAUUUCACUUUCAGAUUUUUCAUCAUUGGUGUAUAGGAAUGCCAGAGAUUUCUGUGCAUUAACUUUGUAUCCUGCUACUUUACCAAAUUCAUUGAUUAGCUCUAGUAGUUUUCCGGUAGCAUCUUUAGGAUUCGCUGUGUGUAGUACCAUGUCAUCUGCAAAGAGUGGCAGCUUUACUUCUUCUUUUCCGAUUUGGAUUCCUUUUAUUUCCUUUUCUUCUCUGAUUGCUGUGGCUAAAACUUCCAAAACUAUGUUGAAUAAGAGUGGUGAGAGUGGGCAACCUUGUCUUGUCCUUGAUCUUAGUGGAAAUGCUUUCAUUUUUUCACCAUUGAGGACGAUGUUGGCUGUGGGUUUGUGAUAUAUGGCCUUUAUUAUGUUGAGGAAAGUUCCCUCUAUGCCUACUUCCUGCAGGGUUUUUAUCAUAAAUGGGUUUUGAAUUUUGUCAAAAGCUUUCUCUGCAUCUAUUGAGAUGAUCAUAUGGUUUUUCUCCUUCAGUUUGUUAAUACGGUUUAUCACAUUGAUUGUUUUGCGUAUACGGAAGAAUCCUUGCAUUCCUGGAAUAAACCCCAUUUGAUCAUGGUGUAUGAUCCUUUUAAUGUGCUGUUGGAUUCUGCUUGCUGGUAUUUUGUUGAGGAUUUUUGCGUCUAUGUUCAUCAGGGAUAUUGGCCUGUAGUUUUCUUUCUUUGUGACAUCCUUGUCUGGUUUUGGUAUCAAGGUGACGGUGGCCUCGUAGAAUGAAUUUGGGAGUGUUCCUCCCUCUGCUAUAUUUUGGAAGUGUUUGAGGAUAGGUGUUAGCUCUUCUCUAAAUGUUUGAUAGAAGUCGCCUGUGAAGCCAUCUGGUCCUAGGCUUUUGUUUGUUGGAAGAUUUUUAAUCACAGUUUCCAUUUCAGCGCUUGUGAUUGGUCUGUUCGUAUUUUCUGUUUUUCCCUAUUCAGUCUUGGCAGGUUGUGCAUUCCUAAGAAUUUGUCCGUUUCUUCCAGGUUGUCCAUUUUAUUGGCAUAGAGUUGCUUGUAGUAAUCUCUCAUGAUCUUUUGUAUUUCUGCACUGUCAGUUGUUACUUCUCCUUUUUCAUUUCUAAUUGUAUUGAUUUGAGUCUUCUCCCUUUUUUUCUUGAUGAGUCUGACUAAUGGUUUCUCAAUUUUGUCUAUCUUCUCAAAGAACCAGCUUUUAGCUUUAUUGAUCUUUGCUAUCGUUUCCUUCAUUUCUUUUUCAUUUAUUUCUGAUCUGAUCUUUAUGAUUUCUUUCCUUCUGCGAACUUUGGGGUUUUUUUGUUCUUUCUCUUUAAAAUUGCUUUAGGUGUUAGGUUGUUUAUUCGAGAUGCUUUCUGUUUCUUAAGGUAGGAUUGUAUUGCUAUAAACUUGCCUCUUAGAACUGCUGUUGCUGCAUCCCAUAGGUUUGGGGUCGUCGUGUCUCGAUUGUCAUUCGUCUCUAGGUGUUUUUUGAUUUCCUCUUUGAUUUCUUCAGUGAUCACUUCGUUAUUAAGUAGUGUAUUGUUUAGCCUCCAUGUGUUUGUAUUUUGUACAGAUCUUUUCCUGUAAUUGAUAUCUAGUCUCACAGCGAUGUGCUUGGAAAAGAUACUUGAUUCAGUUUCAAUUUUCUUUCUUUUUUUCCACAUGUUUAUUGGAGCAUAAUUGGUUUACAGUGGUGUGUUAGUUUCUGCUUUAUAACAAAGUGAAUCAGUUAUACAUAUACCUAUGUUCCCAUAUCUCUUCCCUCUUGCGUCUCCCUCCCUCCCACCCUCCCUAUCCCACGCCUCCAGGCGGUCAGAAAGAACCGAGCUGAUCUCCCUGUGCUAUGCGGCUGCUUCCCACCAGCUAUCUACCUUAUGUUUGGUAGUGUAUAUAUGUCCGUGCCUCUCUCUCGCUUUGUCACAGCUCACCCUUCCCCCUUCCCAUAUCCUCAAGUCCAUUCUCUAGUAGGUCUGUGUCUUUAUUCCUGUCUCACCCCUAGCUUCUUCGUGACAUUUUUUUUCCUUUUUAAAUUCCAUAUAUAUGUGUUAGCAUACGGUAUUUGUUUUUCUCUUUCUGAAAUAUUUCACUCUGUAUGACAGACUCUAGGUUUAUCCACCUCAUUACAAAUAGCUCAAUUUCGUGUCUUUUUAUGGCUGAGUAAUAUUCCAUUGCAUACAUGUGCCACAUCUUCUUUAUCCAUUCUUCCGAUGAUGGACACUUACGUUGUUUCCAGUCCGGGCUAUUGUAAAUAGAGCUGCAGUGAACAUUUUGGCACAUGACUCUUUUUGAAUUAUGGUGUUCUGAGGGUAUAUGCCCAGUAGUGGGAUUGCCGGGUCACAUGGUAGUUCUAUUUGUAGUUUUUUAAGGAACCUUCAUACUGUUCUCCACAGUGGCUGUAUCAAUUUACAUUCGCACCAACAGUGCAAGAGGCUUCCCUUUUCUCCACACCCACUCCAGCAUUUACUGUUUCUAGAUUUUUUGAUGAUGGCCAUUCUGACUGGUGUGAGAUGAUAUCUCAUUGUAGUUCUCAUUUGCAUUUCUCUAAUGAUUAAUGAAGUUGAGCAUUGUGUCAUGUGUUUGUUGGCAGUCUGUAUAUCUUCUUUGGAGAAAUGUCUCUUUCGGCCUUCUGCCCAUUUUUGGAUUGGGUUGUUUGAUCUUUUGUUAUUGAGCUGCCUGAGCUGCUUACAAAUUUUGGAGAUUAAUCCUUUGUCAGUUGCUUCAUUUGCAAAUAUUUUCUCCCCUUGUGAGGUUUGUGUUUUGGUCUUGUUUGUGGUUUCCUUUGCUGUGCAAAAGCUUUGAAGUUCCAUUAGGUCUCAUUUGUUUAUUUUUGUUUUUAUUUCCAUUUCUCUAGGAGGUGGGUCAAAAAGGAUCUUGCUGUGAUUUAUGUCUUAGAGUGUUCUACCUAUGUUUUCCUCUAGGAGUUUGAUAUUUUCUGGCCUUACAUUUAGGUCUUCAAUCCAUUUUGAGCUUAUAUUUGUGUAUGGUGUUAGGGAGUGAUCUAAUCUCAUACUUUUACACGUACCUGUCCUGUUUUCCCAGCACCACUUAUUGAAGAGGCUGUCCUUUUUCCACUGUACAUUCCUGCCCCCUUUAUCAAAGAUAAGGUGUCCAUAUGUGCGUGGGUUUAUCUCUGGGCUUUCUGUCCUGUUCCAUUGAUCUAUCUUUCUGUUUUUGUGCCAGUACCAUACCGUCUUGAUAACUGUAGCUUUGUAGUAUAGUCUGAAGUCAGGGAGCCUGAUUCCUCCAGUUCCUUUUUUCGUUCUCAAGAUUGCUUUGGCUAUUCGGGGUCUUUUGUAUUUCCAUACAAAUUGUGAAAGUUUUCGUUCUAGUUUUGUGAAAAAUGCCAGUGGUAGUUUGCUAGGGAUUGCAUUGAAUCUGUAGAUUGCUUUGGGUAGUAGAGUCCUUUUCACAAUGUUGAUUCUUCCCAUGCAAGAACAUGGUAUAUAUCUCCAUCUAUUUGUAUCAUCUUUAAUUUCUUUCAUCAGUGUCUUAAAAUUUUCUGCAUACAGGUCUUUUGUCUCCUUAGGUAGGUUUAUUCCUAGGUAUUUUAUUCUUUUUGCUGCAGUGGUAAAUGGGAGUGUUUUCUUGAUUUCACUUUCAGAUUUUUCAUCAUCGGUGUAUAGGAAUGCCAGAGAUUUCUGUGUAUUAAUUUUGUAUCCUGCUACUUUACCAAAUUCAUUGAUUAGCUCUAGUAGUUUUCCGGUAGCAUCUUUAGGAUUCGCUGUGUGUAGUAACAUGUCAUCUGCAAACAGUGACAGCUUUACUUCUUUUCUGACUUGGAUUCCUUUUAUUUCCUUUUCUUCUCUGAUUGCUGUGGCUAAAACUUCCAAAACUAUGUUGAAUAAGAGUGGUGAGAGUGGGCAACCUUGUCUUGUCCUUGAUCUUAGUGGAAAUGCUUUCAUUUUUUCACCAUUGAGGACGAUGUUGGCUGUGGGUUUGUGAUAUAUGGCCUUUAUUAUGUUGAGGAAAGUUCCCUCUAUGCCUACUUCCUGCAGGGUUUUUAUCAUAAAUGGGUUUUGAAUUUUGUCAAAAGCUUUCUCUGCAUCUAUUGAGAUGAUCAUAUGGUUUUUCUCCUUCAGUUUGUUAAUACGGUUUAUCACAUUGAUUGUUUUGCGUAUACGGAAGAAUCCUUGCAUUCCUGGAAUAAACCCCAUUUGAUCAUGGUGUAUGAUCCUUUUAAUGUGCUGUUGGAUUCUGCUUGCUGGUAUUUUGUUGAGGAUUUUUGCGUCUAUGUUCAUCAGGGAUAUUGGCCUGUAGUUUUCUUUCUUUGUGACAUCCUUGUCUGGUUUUGGUAUCAAGGUGACGGUGGCCUCGUAGAAUGAAUUUGGGAGUGUUCCUCCCUCUGCUAUAUUUUGGAAGUGUUUGAGGAUAGGUGUUAGCUCUUCUCUAAAUGUUUGAUAGAAGUCGCCUGUGAAGCCAUCUGGUCCUAGGCUUUUGUUUGUUGGAAGAUUUUUAAUCACAGUUUCCAUUUCAGCGCUUGUGAUUGGUCUGUUCGUAUUUUCUGUUUUUCCCUAUUCAGUCUUGGCAGGUUGUGCAUUCCUAAGAAUUUGUCCGUUUCUUCCAGGUUGUCCAUUUUAUGGGCAUAGAGUUGCUUGUAGUAAUCUCUCAUGAUCUUUUGUAUUUCUGCACUGUCAGUUGUUACUUCUCCUUUUUCAUUUCUAAUUGUAUUGAUUUGAAUCUUCUCCCUUUUUUUCUUGAUGAGUCUGGCUAAUGGUUUCUCAAUUUUGUCUAUCUUCUCAAAGAACCAGCUUUUAGCUUUAUUGAUCUUUGCUAUCAUUUCCUUCAUUUCUUUUUCAUUUAUUUCUGAUCUGAUCUUUAUGAUUUCUUUCCUUCUGCGAACUUUAGGUUUUUUUUGUUUUUCUUUCUCUUUAAAAUUGCUUUAGGUGUGAGGUUAGGUGGUUUAUUCGAGAUGCUUUCUGUUUCUUAAGGUAGGAUUGUAUUGCUAUAAACUUGC
Orcinus orca (killer whale) is the source of this 5242-nucleotide long non-coding RNA. RefSeq lists it as uncharacterized. The transcript has 3 exons. Lineage: Eukaryota; Metazoa; Chordata; Mammalia; Artiodactyla; Delphinidae. The record is from RefSeq and is a predicted model, not a curated record.